This 370-nucleotide unclassified non-coding RNA is filed under the name Hevea brasiliensis (rubber tree). The record is from RNAcentral. Lineage: Eukaryota; Viridiplantae; Streptophyta; Magnoliopsida; Malpighiales; Euphorbiaceae.
CCCAACUGGGCCACCCGCCGUGUUCAACAACCUUAACCCGUUGAGUCCCGUCACGAGUCAAGAACACGUAGAUAUCAGUACUCAAUUCCUCUACGUCACCAUUCCACCCACUCUCCCCAUAAGACGCCACAGCUGUAUAAACCCCAGAAGGAGAAACCGCAGGGCUAAAAUCGGCGAUCCCAUAAGGGGUGAGUCUCCGAGUCACCCCGGUUUUCAACUCCGUCGAGUACACAGCAGCCCAACUCGCCCUAGGCUUCCCAGGAUCCUCAUGCGUGGACACAUAUAUCAGAUAAUCUCCGGUCACAGUAGGCUUAUCCUUCAUUGCAAUUCCUUUUUUGCCCUUCAGCAGCGGCACUUGAACGCGUUCGGG